GCAUGCUCUCGAUAAUGCGACUCUCGUAAAUCUGCGAACGGCUCCGUAUAUCUGUUGUCACCAAUAGCCCAUGGCCAACACAAACCAGCGGAUAUGGCUCGGUAAUUCUGUCAGUAAUACGUGUGGGGUCUUACGGCCCUCACUCCUUCCACGCAAUGGCCCCCCUAGUGGGGUCAUCGAAACCGAGCCAUGCGCGGUUAUAGAGACGGUCUUGCAAUGGACCCACGGCCCGGCAUUAGUCAGGCUAAGGAUCGCAUGCAAGGGGACCCGACCACUGCUCACGUGGCGGAGGCUAUGGGCUUCAGACCUAUCAACUUGCGGGCUGGUUGAGGACCAGUCCAGGUGAUAACGGGUACAGAGGAUCAGGGUUCGGUCCUGGAGAGGUAGCCUGAGAGAUCGCUACUACUUCUAAGGAAGGCAGCAGGCGCGCAACGUUCCCAAUGGGGGCCGCCGGCCCCUGAGGACGUGAAGGGACAUAACAAUGCCUGGUCCUAUAAGACUAGGUAAUUGUAAUGGGGAAAUUCUAAAUCUCCCACCGAGUAACAAUUAGA
RNAcentral lists this ribosomal RNA (551 nucleotides) under Arcyria cinerea. Its description in RNAcentral is "SSU rRNA". It matches the Rfam family "Eukaryotic small subunit ribosomal RNA", at positions 53 to 552 of the family's 1831-position model. Lineage: Eukaryota; Evosea; Eumycetozoa; Trichiida; Trichiidae. The record is from RNAcentral.